UUCCUACGGGAGGCAGCAGUAGGGAAUUUUCGUCAAUGGGCGCAAGCCUGAACGAGCAAUGCCGCGUGAACGAGGAAGGUCUUCGGAUCGUAAAGUUCUGUUGAAGUGGAAAAAGAGCGGAGAGAGGAAAUGCUUUCUGAUUGAUAUUACCCUUCGAGGAAGUCACGGCUAACUACGUGCCAGCAGCCGCGGUAAUACGUAGUUGGCGAGCGUUAUCCGGAAUGAUUGUGCGUAACUGUUUC
RNAcentral lists this ribosomal RNA (242 nucleotides) under uncultured bacterium. Its description in RNAcentral is "partial 16S ribosomal RNA". It matches the Rfam family "Bacterial small subunit ribosomal RNA", at positions 336 to 570 of the family's 1533-position model. The record is from RNAcentral.